RNAcentral lists this ribosomal RNA (408 nucleotides) under Triticum aestivum (bread wheat). RNAcentral's name for it is "partial small subunit ribosomal RNA". The record is from RNAcentral. Lineage: Eukaryota; Viridiplantae; Streptophyta; Magnoliopsida; Poales; Poaceae.
AUGAUUCUCGAUGUCGCGUCCCGCGGACUCUUACAACAUCCCAUCAUCCCCAACUCCCCUUGUCCCGUUCUGCAGUAUGUUGACGAUACCCUAAUUAUCCUCAAGGCCGACGAGAACCACCUUGCAAACCUUAAGUCUGUACUUCAUGACUUCUCUCUAGCCACUGGGCUCCAAAUCAACUACGGUAAAAGCACAUUCGCCCCGAUCCAUGUCGAUCCCCACGUUGCCGCCCGUAUGGCCAACAUGUUGGGUUGCCCGGUGGCCUCCUUCCCCCAAAAGUAUCUCGGCCUUCCCCUGUCCACCCACAAACUUCGCCUAUUGGACUUUCAGCCUCUCAUCGCUAAGGUCGACAAGCGGCUCGCAGGCUGGCGUGGCCACCUUCUGUCCGCGGCAGGCCGGGCGGUCUUG